RNAcentral lists this long non-coding RNA (1081 nucleotides) under Medicago truncatula (barrel medic). RNAcentral's name for it is "lncRNA gene50285". The stretch from base 810 to 914 matches the Rfam family "Small nucleolar RNA snoR99". The record is from RNAcentral. Lineage: Eukaryota; Viridiplantae; Streptophyta; Magnoliopsida; Fabales; Fabaceae.
GUACUCUUUAUAAGCACCUCGAUACCCCUUCUCCAUUGUAUCACAGUUACGAUUAGGGUUUCUAGCCGCAACUUCAUGUUUUCCCUUUGCUUUAAUCUCGCAUGUUCUUAACUUGUUUUCAAUCGAUUUUAAUUAGUUUUUCAAAUAAGAUUGAAUUUGAAAGGCGACGGUGACGAUUGUGAUUAGGUCUCGUUCGUCGUAAUGGCCAAUUGGCCUUGCCGACCAUCCUGUUAUAUCACCACCCAUAUUCUGAGUCCCUUAUUUUUUUCUUUCAAUUUAGGUUUUUCAUUUUUCUUUUAUUUGUUGAAAUUAUUAUUCAUUGUUAAGUUUGAAUUGGCCGAUGAUUAAAAUAAUUAAUAGACAAGCAUAUGUCUGAAUUAAUUCAUGUGGAAAAUUCUAAUCUUCUCUAUGAGGCCAUUAUUUAAAUUAUAAAUUCUUCGUACAUAGAUCUAGUUUUUUUUUUUUUCUUCCAAUGAUGAGAUCGAUGGAAAAUGUGUUAGGGUAUGAACAUUGAUGAUUUACUAUACCAUACUGCCUUCCUUCUGAGGAAUUUUAUAUUUUCAUUUUAUUUUGUUGUAAUAGUAUUAUUAAGUUCAACAUCUUUGAUUGGUUGGAGAGUCAUAUGAUGAUCAAUUGCAUAGUUCAAAUGAUCUAUUUAUGAUUAAACAGAAUCUUUAGUCUUUCGCUCCUAUCUGAUGACUUUCAUAUCAACCAAUCAAACAGUGAUAAAUUUGUAUUGUUGAAGUAGAUCUGUAUUUAUUUGCAAUUUUUUGGGGACUAUUCGUCUGCCCUGUAAGCAGUGUUUCUGAUUGCUUAUGGGAAGAAUGCGUCCCUUAUAUGCAAAUUAUCCAUCUGCUUCACUUUGUCAGCUCUGUUUUCUUAUAUUUUGCUGAUCAUUUUAGGAUGGAAAAGUAUAUCUCUUUGCUUUUACAUUAUUUAUUUAUAUAAUUAUAUAAUGUCGUCUGUGAUGAUAACAUUAAGGCUUGUUUCUCAAAACAUUCGCAGUGGCCGCCUAAGAACUUUCGCCUUCGCCAGGCUUGAGAGUUAAUGCUGCUUUAUCCUUCCUUGGAUGUCUGAGACU